CCUAGAAAUAUUUACGUUGUAUUUAUUUAGUAAGUUAAAUACAAAACUAAUCAUAAGUUUUAUUAUUUGAAUGUAAUGCUGUAGAAGUACUCUUAUCGCGCGUAUAUCAUGGUUUGUCAACGAAUAUAAAACUACGUCAUUAAUCGUUCUUUCGUAAAAAAUAAAGAAAGUUAUUAUUUUACUUGCCGUCCUACGAUAUAGAUUUUAUUAAAAAACAUGUGGCCAUUUUUACUUUCGCUAUUUGCGCUGUUUCACUUAACUUCAGCAUCAGGUAGUUUUGAUUUUGGUGAUACAUUAGCAUUAAUUUUGGGUCUUAUUAUUGGAAUUAUGGGAUUUUUUGCUUGCAUCGGAGCCUAUGCAAGACGACGAAAUCAAUUUAAAUCUUUGUGAUCAUGGGAAAUAUAUUUUAAUAAAAUUCAUGGAUAUACUAAAAUGAGAGUAAUAUGUAAGAAGCUCUUUUAAAAUGUAAAAGUAUUAAAAUAUUGCAAUAUUUUUUAAUAUAUCAUACUGUUUUAUCACAAGUAAGAGAUAAAUAUGACAAAAAGGGUCAUUACUUACACAUUUUCAAGAUUGGGAAUUUUGAAAUGUGUUUAGAACAAAGAUUUAUAAAAAUUGAUAUCAACAUAUAACAUAGAUGAAUAAUGAUAAGUAUUUCUCAUCUAAUUUGCAGAAGUCUGGAACUUUCAAAAAGAGUAAGGAAAUAUUUAAAAACACAUUUUCACACUGUGUAUUUUUCUACAUUUCGCUUUAAUAUUUUUCAUUUAUGAUAUUUUUUUACAUGUGUUCUCACAUUCCUCAUUCUUUUUGGACUCAUAACUUUUAUGUAUUUUUGGUUUAUCUCCUCACUUAAGAACAACAUGUAAAACUCAAUGUAAUGUCACUGAAAUUAAAUUUACAUAAGUUUAAACUGUAUUCAAUUGAAAAAUGUACUUGUUGCAAUUCUUAUUCUGUCAAUUAUAUGUAAUUCAAUAUUCACAUUCAUCAGUUCAGUUUUUAUAUUUCUAAGAAUUAUGCAUUCUAAACAUAAAAAUAAUGUUCACUCAUGGAUUAAUGAAUAUGUUCAUUACUUCUCCGCAGAUCUACAAUGCAUUACGCUAAUACCAUAAACUAUAAUAUAAACGGAAGUAGUUCCGCCUGUUUUUCACGGAA
Long non-coding RNA from Polistes dominula (European paper wasp), 1149 nucleotides. RefSeq lists it as uncharacterized. The record is from RefSeq and is a predicted model, not a curated record. Lineage: Eukaryota; Metazoa; Arthropoda; Insecta; Hymenoptera; Vespidae.